UACGAAGGGGGCUAGCGUUGUUCGGAAUUACUGGGCGUAAAGCGUGCGCAGGCGGUUCGUUAAGUCAGAUGUGAAAUCCCCGGGCUUAACCUGGGAACUGCAUUUGGGACUGCAAGGCUCGAGUACGGCAGAGGGAGGUGGAAUUCCACGUGUAGCAGUGAAAUGCGUAGAGAUGUGGAGGAACACCGAUGGCGAAGGCAGCCUCCUGGGCCAGUACUGACGCUCAUGCACGAAAGCGUGGGGAGCAAACAGG
RNAcentral lists this ribosomal RNA (253 nucleotides) under uncultured bacterium. Its description in RNAcentral is "partial 16S ribosomal RNA". It matches the Rfam family "Bacterial small subunit ribosomal RNA", at positions 524 to 776 of the family's 1533-position model. The record is from RNAcentral.